UGGGGAAUUUUGGACAAUUGGGCGAAAGCCUGAUCCAGCAAUGCCGCGUGUGUGAAGAAGGCCUUCGGGUUGUAAAGCACUUUUGUCCGGAAAGAAAUCCUUGGCUCUAAUACAGUCGGGGGAUGACGGUACCGGAAGAAUAAGCACCGGCUAACUACGUGCCAGCAGCCGCGGUAAUACGUAAGGUGCAAGCGUUAAUCGGAAUUACUGGGCGUAAAGCGUGCGCAGGCGGUUUGCUAAGACCGAUGUGAAAUCCCCGGGCUCAACCUGGGAACUGCAUUGGUGACUGGCAGGCUAGAGUAUGGCAGAGGGGGGUAGAAUUCCACGUGUAGCAGUGAAAUGCGUAGAGAUGUGGAGGAAUACCGAUGGCGAAGGCAGCCCCCUGGGCCAAUACUGACGCUCAUGCACGAAAGCGUGGGGAGCAAACAGGAUUAGAUACCCUGGUAGUCCACGCCCUAAACGAUGUCAACUAGUUGUUGGGGAUUCAUUUCCUUAGUAACGUAGCUAACGCGUGAAGUUGACCGCCUGGGGAGUACGGUCGCAAGAUUAAAACUCAAAUGAAUUGNGGCGG
This 571-nucleotide ribosomal RNA is filed under the name uncultured bacterium. Its description in RNAcentral is "partial 16S ribosomal RNA". It matches the Rfam family "Bacterial small subunit ribosomal RNA", at positions 355 to 918 of the family's 1533-position model. The record is from RNAcentral.